This 249-nucleotide unclassified non-coding RNA is filed under the name Hevea brasiliensis (rubber tree). The record is from RNAcentral. Lineage: Eukaryota; Viridiplantae; Streptophyta; Magnoliopsida; Malpighiales; Euphorbiaceae.
CAGAACAAGAAAACUUGUUAUAUCAGGCCUUUUGUGUUGAGGUAAUAGAAGCCCUUGAUUUGGAGCAUGCAUUGUAAUUUGAGGACUUUGUUGCAACAAUGGUUUUUCUGAAAUCAGCCUCAGUUACUUACUUGGAAUUUGUUACAGAUGUUCCAUGUUUCUUUCUUUCACUUGAUUUCAAAGAAUCUGCCAGGUGAAGUCAGAGAAUGAAUGAAUGAAUAGAGCUGAUUUCAUAGCUGUGAUUGGUUG